Mya arenaria is the source of this 7359-nucleotide RNA transcript. RefSeq lists it as uncharacterized. The transcript is spliced from 2 exons. The record is from RefSeq and is a predicted model, not a curated record. Lineage: Eukaryota; Metazoa; Mollusca; Bivalvia; Myida; Myidae.
UCGGGUAUGACAAGUUUCUUUCAUACUUAUAUAGGGAAAUCUUUGAAAAUCUCCUAGUCUGGAACCGUUAGGCCCAGACAGUUGAUAUUUUGUAUGUAGCAUCAUGUAGUAGUCCUCCACCAAGUUUGUUCAAAUUAUGCCCCUGGUGUGGUGUCCGCUAGUGGGAGGUAACUCUUGAUAGUAUUUUCAUUGAUCUUUGCGCUCAAACUUUUGGGUAAUUGUUUAACUUUCCGCUGCUCUGUCUUCCGCUUUUUCAUUUGCUGACGUACUGUAAAUGGUGGCUGAAUGAUAAAUCUUUCGUUCCUUUAUAUUCGGCUCCAUGGGAUGCAUGGUGUAAGUUUUUGCAGUAUAUAAUAAUUAUUCAUGUUCUUUGAUAGUUUGGCCACUUUAUUUUGAAAGCAAAGGCUCUUCUAGCCCAUAUUUUGUUAUUUUAAUUUUUGUGUUAAUUCGUACUUAAACAUGUUCGUACCUUGGUUAAUUUCGUCCGUAGGCCUUUAAUUUUUGGUCCUUUCUUGUAUUUUGGAUUUUUUGGUUUUUUAUGUAAAACUAUUUUAAUUCAAUAUGUGUAAAAGCCAGAAAUAUUGUUGAGAAUGUGUUUUUUAGUAGAUAUCAUUUUUUGUAUUUUCAGUAUUUACCACACAAAUAAAUCGACAGACCAUUGGGCAGUUGACUUUGUUCUUUGUUGUUUACUGAUGGUAUUGUCAUUGGUUCUACUCGCUGGCCCCAACGAUUAUCACAUCAUAGUGCGGUCCGGUACAGUAAAUAACCAUGCUCAGGUUACAUGCAAGCCGAGUAGCUGUGUAUCAUCACACAAGUAACUGUGUAUCAUCACAAGUAACUGUGUAUCAUCACAAGUAACUGUGUAUCAUCACGUUUAUAUGGAAAUAUUAUUCCCGCAUGGAAACAAGAAGUGUCAGAAGACAAACACCUAAAGCCAUGGAAUUGUAUGAACAACGUAGUAAAGAACUGUUUGGCAAAUAUAACAGAUCUGUAAGAGCUUUAGAAGAAUAUAUCUCAGGAAAUAGUGGCCUGUCCAUUAACAGUACAAUUUCUGUACUAAAUAAGUGUAAAGAACAAUGUAAAGGGUUACAUCAAGGUGUACAAACUGCAUACGCCGUCUACAUGAAAUAUUUAGAAGGAAUGAAGAUAGAAGAGAGUGAAAGAGAAAUUACAAGAUUGGACAAUUCAUUUGUUGAUGUCGAACAGAGGGUCCAUGAGUAUUUGGGAACAAUAAAGAAAAUCAAAUCAGAAAAGAUUGACACUAUGUCACAGUGUCCCAGUGAUUCUUCAACUCAUAGUUUAGUGGCUCAGAAAACUGCCCAAGCAAAGGCAGCUAAGGUGCAUGUUGAAUUUGCUGAAAAAGAGAUAGAAUUAAAGAAAAAACAAGCAAACAUUGAUGCCGAUUUGGAACUUUUAAAACUGAAACGAGAAGCAGCGGCACUCGCCACAGAGGCAAGUGAACUAACCAAUCUGAUGUUUGGUUCUCAGCAGGGUUCAGUUACGGAUUUUCAAAUCAAUGAAGAAGAUCCUACUUCUAAAGUUCGUAACUAUCUCAACAGUCAAAUGGGUGAAAACAUUCUCCAUACGUCCAAGAAAGAAACACCGAACACUGAAUCUAACGCCACAGCACAGUUUCUCUUAAGGAAGGAUCUGAUCUUGUCGAGGUUGACCACUUUCAACGACGCCUGUGAGAACUACCAAGCCUGGAAAGCAAGUUUUCAGUCAGUCAGCAAUGAGAUGGCUGUUAAUAGCAGGGAGGAGGUUGAUUUGUUAAUAAAAUACUUAGGUUCUGUUUCCAAGAAACAUGCAAUAAGCCUUAGAACAGCGUACCUGCACGAUUCAGAUGAGGCAUUAAGUCAAAUCUGGCUACGAUUAGACGAAAGAUUCGGAGCUCCUGAAAGUUUGCUUAAUUCCCUGACAAAUAGACUGCACUCUUUUCCAAGUUUAACAAAUAAAGAAAGAGCCAAGUUGUAUGACUUAUCAGACCUCUUACAAGAGAUCGAAGGACUUAUGUCAAACCCAAAGUACGACAAGACCCUGUCUUACUUUGAUUCUUCAAUUGGAGUCAACCCUGUGGUGAACAAACUUCCUCACAGCUUACAGCAAAAAUGGAUCACUCACGCAUCAACAUAUAAAGAAAACCAUUCUGUACCAUUCCCGCCAUUUCACUUUUUCGUGAGCUUUGUGAAAAAGUUCAGUGUUAUAUACAAUGACCCGAGUUUCAUCUACGAAACCCAGAAGACGAAGGAACCAAGUCAACAUAGGACUCGUGAUAUCCUGUAUCAGAGAGCAACAACCAAUGGUCGCGUAGCAGCCGCUAAAACAGGAAUUCAGGAUGAUAGUGAAUCUAGUGUGUCGCGUGAUAAGUGUUUAAUGCAUAAUGGUGCUCCGCAUUCUCUUGCAGAUUGCAAAAAAUUCAAGUGUAUGUCUGAAGAAGAAAAGCAAAAGUUUCUGUUUGAAAAUAAAUUGUGUUAUCAGUGUUAUUCUGGAGAUCAUCAGGCCCGUAAUUGUAAAGAUUCACAGAAGCAGCAUGGUGGGGAGAGACAGUAUUCAUCUGCCGGGAGAAAUGACAGACAAUCCACAGAUCAAAAGCAGAAAGUUGCUAGUAAAUGUACUGAAAUUUGUGGUGAUGAUAUUGUUGGAAAAUCUUGUGCUAAGAUAAUGCUUGUACAUGUUUACACUAAAGAUAAUCCAGAUAAUUAUGUUCAAUGUUAUGCUACUGUUGAUGAGCAAAGUAAUAGGUGUCUAGCAAAACCAGAAUUGUUUCAGUUACUUAAUAUAACUGGAAAAUCUGUUGAAUAUACAAUGUCUUCAUGUAAUGGUAUUUCUGUCAAAUCUGGUCGAGAAUUAGACAAUUUGGUUGUUGAAUCUAUUGACAGAAGUGUACAGUUUGAUCUUCCCACUGUUAUAGAAUGUCAGGACAUACCUAGUAAUAGGAAUGAAAUUCCUAUCCCGAGUGUGGCAGCCAAUCACCCACAUUUGUCAGAUAUAGCUCAUUUAAUCCCAGAAAUAGAUAGCAAUGCAAACAUGCUGUUAUUGCUUGGCCGAGACAUCACAGACAUACAUCACGUCUUAGAUCAACGCUUAGGACCGAAAGGCUCCCCUUUUGCACAGCGUCUGCCCCUUGGUUGGGUUGUAAUAGGCGAAGUCUGCUUAGGAAAUGCUCACAUAGUCCCAGAUGUCAAUGUUAAGAAAACAUAUGUUGUGGGUGACGGGCGAGCCUCGCUUCUUCCGCCAUGUAAUAGCAAAAUACAUGUGUCCGAAUCUAAGGAUGAGUUUGUGUCUGAGUGCAGCUCCACGUAUGUAAUAGACAAUGGUAGAUAUACUCUGUUUAGACCAUGUACAUUGAAUGUUGAUCGUAAUCACGUGCCAGCAUAUGAUUACGAUUUUGUGUUCGCUCUUGAUGUCCGUCAUGAUGACAAAGCGUCUAUGUCAGUAGAUGACCGUAAUUUCCUGUCCAUUAUGGACAAAGAGUUUGUCCUUGAUUCAAAUGAUAGGUGGUCAGCCCCCCUUCCCUUCAAAACACCUAGGCCUAGACUCCCUAACAACAGAUCCCAAGCUCUUCUUAGGGUUAAAAGUCUUCAGACUAACUUGAGUAAACACCCCCUUAAAAGACAACAUUUCGUUGAUUUCAUGGGCAAUUUGCUUGCUAAUGGUCAUGCUGAAAAAGCACCUGAGUUAGACAAUGCUACAGAAUGCUGGUAUUUACCCAUCUUCGGGGUCUAUCACCCGAAAAAGCCUGAUAAGAUAAGGGUGGUCUUUGACUCGGCAGUACAAUAUGAGGGGGUUUCAUUGAAUUCAGUACUACUGCAAGGCCCUGAUUUGACCAAUAGUCUUCUCGGUGUUCUCCUUAGAUUUAGAUGUGAGUUAGUUGCAGUCUCGGUAGACGUAGAACAAAUGUUUUACUGUUUCGGUGUUCAUGAGAAUGAUAGAAAUUACUUGAGAUUCUUUUGGCAUGAGGAUAAUGACACUUCAAAGCCUCUUAUAGAGUAUCGUAUGAGAAAGCAUGUAUUCGGCAACAGUCCGUCCCCGGCUAUAGCUACCUAUGGGUUAAGAAAGGCCGUAGAGAAAUCUGAUAGCGAUGUAGUUCAGUUUGUAGAGAGAGAUUUCUAUGUAGAUGAUGGGUUGAGGUCAUGUAGUACUGUCUCAGAGGCAACUGAUUUGCUUCAACGCACUCAGUCAAGCUUAGCUAAAUCUGGCAUUCGUCUUCAUAAGAUUGCGUCUAAUGCACCUGACGUCAUGAAAAACUUCUCAAAGGAGGACUUGGCUUCGGAUUUGAACCAGGUUGAUUUUGACCUAGAUAGUCUCCCUACUCAGCGCAGUUUAGGGUUAGUAUGGGAUUUGAACCAUGAUUGCUUUUUAUUCCCAAGUCAGGUACAAGAUAAACCGUUGUCAAAAAGGGGUAUUUUGUCAACUAUUAAUAGCAUUUUUGACCCUAUUGGUUUCUUGGCUCCUUUUAUUCUAGAAGGUAGAUUGAUACUGAGGGACGUAGUAUCCAGUGAUGUAGGUUGGGAUGAACCAUUAACCCCUGAAGUUGAAACCAAAUGGUAUCGUUGGCUCAACAGUAUGAAUGAUCUGGAGUGUGUUAGAGUACCUAGGUCACUUUUCACAAUGUCUUUGUCUGAUAUGCGAGAACUUGAGUUGCAAAUAUUCUCAGACGCUUCAGAAAAAGCAAUUUCUGCAGUAGCGUAUGUCGUUGGUUCUAUUGACGACCAUUCUAAAAUGUCAAGUUUUGUUCUUGGAAAAGCUAAAGUAGCGCCCUCAAAGAGUCACACAAUUCCUCGCUUAGAGCUCUGUGCUGCUGUCUUAGCGACAGAGAUUUGUAUGUUAGUUACAGAAAACCUAGGGGUUAAGUUUGAUAAAGUACGGUUUUACACCGAUAGCAAAGUUGUGUUGGGGUACGUUAACAAUCAAUCUCGUAGAUUUUAUACUUACGUUAGCAAUAGAGUUCAGAAGAUUCGACAGGUUAGCUCCCCUCAACAGUGGAAUUACAUUCCUUCGGACAAAAACCCAGCAGACAUUGGAAGUCGUGGUGCAAGUCCUGCUCAGCUUAAUGAGAGCAUUUGGCUUUUAGGUCCAAAAUUUCUAAAUGUACAAGGCGAACCUUUACCAGAGUUUUAUCCACUUGUCAACCCCCAGUCAGACUCUGAAGUUAGAGGUACUAGUAUAGUUGCCAUGACAACCAAAGUUAUGGAAGAAAGUUGUUUAGGGGCAUGUAGAUUUGAGCAUUUUUCUUCAUGGACCAAGUUAGUGUUGGCGAUAGGUUUUCUUGUACACAUUGUGUUGUCGUUUAAAAAACUUGUUCAGUGUAGAGGUUGGCAUAGUUGUUCAGGCAUUCGUUCUUUAGAGAGCAAUUCUAGAGCUACCAUAGUUAUACUUAGAGAAGUACAGCUUGUAAGUUUUAAGUCAGAAAUAGAUUGCUUGAGGUCAGAAAGCUCAAUUAGUGCUAACAGUAAGUUGCUACAGUUGGAUCCGUUUCUUGACGAUAUGGGGUUACUCCGGGUAGGUGGUCGUCUACGUCAGAGUAGUUUACCCUUAGCAGAAAAACAUCCCGUUAUUUUGUCUGCUACUGGUCAUGUACCAAAAUUGGUCAUUAGGCAUUUUCAUGAGUCGGUACAUCACCAAGGACGUUUGCUUACUGAGGGUGCAGUUAGACAGGCCGGUUAUUGGAUUAUAGGUGGUAAACGGGCUAUCUCUUCACUCAUUUUUAACUGUGUGACAUGCAAGAAACUCAGGGGUAGGUUUGAAACCCAAAAAAUGUCAGAUUUGCCAGCAGAGAGAACAGAGCCGAGCUCCGCUUUUUCUAAUGUAGGGGUUGACGUCUUUGGCCCUUGGCAGGUUGUUUCUCGUAGAACACGUAGUUCACAGGCCACAUCAAAACGUUGGGCAGUGCUUUUCACGUGUCUGUCUAUACGCGCUGUACAUAUUGAGGUAGUAGAUGAAAUGUCUUCUUCUGCAUUUGUAAAUGCACUCCGUCGUUUCAUUGCGAUUCGCGGAAAGGUCAAGAUUUUUCGGUCUGACAGGGGUUCAAAUUUUGUUGGAGCUACCGAUCAUAUUGGGGUACAUACAAUUAAUGUAGAGAACGGCCAGGUUAAGGACUUCCUGUCUAAGUCGGGCAGCCUUUGGAUCUUUAACGCUCCUUGCAGUUCACAUAUGGGAGGGGUAUGGGAGCGUAUGAUUGGGGUUUCUAGACGGAUAUUGGAGUCAAUGCUCUCAAACACCCACAAUCUUACCCAUGAUGUUCUUGUUACCCUUAUGGCGGAAGUUAGUGCAAUUGUUAAUGCGCGCCCUAUUGUUCCAGUGUCCUCUGACCCUGACUGUCCGCAAAUCCUUUCUCCAUCAGCCCUAUUGACCAUGAAAAUAGAUACAGAUCAACAACCUGUUGAUGACAUGAACCUAAAAUCUUUGUAUAAAGACCAGUGGAAACGUGUACAGUUUCUUGCGAAUCAGUUUUGGUUACACUGGAGGAAAGAAUUCCUUCAGUCACUGCAGACUAGAACUAAGUGGCAGUCUGAUUGUACACCUGUAAAGGUUAAUGAUAUAGUUCUGCUUAAGGACUAUGAAGUUGCUAGAAACUAUUGGCCAUUAGGUCGGAUCAGUAGACUAUUUCCUAGUAGUGAUGGAAAGAUACGUAAAGUGGAGAUUUGUGUUGUGAAGGAUGGGAAACAAACAUUUUAUGUUAGGCCUAUAGUUAAUACAGUACUUCUGGUUAGGCAUUAAAUUUGUAACUAUUGUUGUGAAGUGAAUUUUGUGAACAGACUGAAUCAGUGAAUUGGUAUACUUGAACAGUAAAAGAACAGUUUUGCGCAAAUAUUCAGUGCAAGAUAAAUCAAUAAACUUCAUGAUUGUAUGUAUAUUGAACAGUUAAUACCUUACAUGUCUUAUAGUUACAUGCACAUGUUGUUAAAUUGUUAUUUUUGUUGAAAAUUGUUUUGUAUCUAUACAAGCAAGUAUAGUGUAACUUUACUUCUACUAAUUUUGAAGACCACCUCCUUGUAAAGACUAGUUGUUAUAUAAGAUUGUAUUUUUAUUUUUUGGUUUUCUGUUUUUUCAAGUCCAGAUUAACUUUAUGGUACAUUUUUGAGGAAAAUUAUUGUUAGUUGCUUAAGUGAUAUCUUCGAUAUCAGGUGGGGAGUGUGGUGUCCGCUAGUGGGAGGUAACUCUUGAUAGUAUUUUCAUUGAUCUUUGCGCUCAAACUUUUGGGUAAUUGUUUAACUUUCCGCUGCUCUGUCUUCCGCUUUUUCAUUUGCUGACGUACUGUAAAUGGUGGCUGAAUGAUAAAUCUUUCGUUCCUUUAUAUUCGGCUCCAUGGGAUGCAUGGUUAUUUACCACACAAAUAAAUCGACAGACCAUUGGGCA